Manis pentadactyla (Chinese pangolin) is the source of this 560-nucleotide long non-coding RNA. RefSeq lists it as uncharacterized. NCBI's taxonomy places the organism in Eukaryota, Metazoa, Chordata, Mammalia, Pholidota, Manidae. The transcript is spliced from 4 exons. The record is from RefSeq and is a predicted model, not a curated record.
GAUUUGGUCCCUUCUCUCCUGUGAGUGAGCUACCGGCUGCUGGGCCGGGGAGGCAAAAGGCUUGGCGGCCGUGGGCGUGGCCCCUGGGCAAGAACGAGGUGUGGUCACGAUCUCUGUAGCCUGUGGCUUAAACAGCCCUGUCCUAGGACCGGAGUGAUUCAGUCUCAGAAUUGUUCUUUAAUCUUUAAUAUCUCCAUUAAGAAGAGUUUCUGUCAAGUGCUUCAAAAGAACACAACGUGAAGGAGCAAUACCGAUCCACUGCUGAGACCUCAGAAGCUACCAGAUUAUCGUUAAAAAAUAAACAUGUUUGAAGACUACAGACUAUUACCCAGAGGGGAGGUCCUGAGUCAUCCAAAGUUUCUCCAGCUGGCAAAGAAGUAUGAAAAAACUCCUGCUCAGAUUUGCACCUGCUGGAGCAUCCGAGCAAGCCAGGGAAACAUCCAUGACACCUAAAGAAGAGAUGAAAUGCUUGUGUAUUUCAGGUUGGUAUUGAAAUGUUCCCAGGAUUCAUAAAAUAUUUAAGGACUACAUAAAAAAGAAAGACUUAGAAAUCAAAGGCA